AUUGAACGCUGGCGGCAGGCUUAACACAUGCAAGUCGAGCGGGGUGAUGGUGCUUGCACUAUCACUUAGCGGCGGACGGGUGAGUAAUGCUUAGGAAUCUGCCUAUUAGUGGGGGACAACAUCUCGAAAGGGAUGCUAAUACCGCAUACGUCCUACGGGAGAAAGCAGGGGAUCACUUGUGACCUUGCGCUAAUAGAUGAGCCUAAGUCGGAUUGGCUAGUUGGUGGGGUAAAGGCCUACCAAGGCGAGGAUCUGUAGCGGGUCUGAGAGGAUGAUCCGCCACACUGGGACUGAGACACGGCCCAGACUCCUACGGGAGGCAGCAGUGGGGAAUAUUGGACAAUGGGGGGAACCCUGAUCCAGCCAUGCCGCGUGUGUGAAGAAGGCCUUAUGGUUGUAAAGCACUUUAAGCGAGGAGGAGGCUCUUUUGGUUAAUACCCAAGAUGAGUGGACGUUACUCGCAGAAUAAGCACCGGCUAACUCUGUGCCAGCCGCCGCGGUAA
RNAcentral lists this ribosomal RNA (503 nucleotides) under uncultured bacterium. Its description in RNAcentral is "partial 16S ribosomal RNA". It matches the Rfam family "Bacterial small subunit ribosomal RNA", at positions 30 to 523 of the family's 1533-position model. The record is from RNAcentral.